This 497-nucleotide ribosomal RNA is filed under the name uncultured bacterium. RNAcentral's name for it is "partial 16S ribosomal RNA". It matches the Rfam family "Bacterial small subunit ribosomal RNA", at positions 28 to 507 of the family's 1533-position model. The record is from RNAcentral.
GACGAACGCUGGCGGCGUGCUUAACACAUGCCAGUCGAGCGAACAGACGAGGAGCUUGCUCCUCUGACGUUAGCGGCGGACGGGUGAGUAACACGUGGAUAACCUACCUAUAAGACUGGGAUAACUUCGGGAAACCGGAGCUAAUACCGGAUAAUAUAUUGAACCGCAUGGUUCAAUAGUGAAAGACGGUUUUGCUGUCACUUAUAGAUGGAUCCGCGCCGCAUUAGCUAGUUGGUAAGGUAACGGCUUACCAAGGCAACGAUGCGUAGCCGACCUGAGAGGGUGAUCGGCCACACUGGAACUGAGACACGGUCCAGACUCCUACGGGAGGCAGCAGUAGGGAAUCUUCCGCAAUGGGCGAAAGCCUGACGGAGCAACGCCGCGUGAGUGAUGAAGGUCUUCGGAUCGUAAAACUCUGUUAUUAGGGAAGAACAAAUGUGUAAGUAACUAUGCACGUCUUGACGGUACCUAAUCAGAAAGCCACGGCUAACUACGUG